AACGAACGCUGGCGGCAUGCCUAACACAUGCAAGUCGAACGCGUGUAGCAAUACACGAGUGGCGGACGGGUGAGUAACGCGUGGGAACCUGCCCAGUGGUAGGGAAUAACUGCGGGAAACUGCAGCUAAUACCCUAUACGCCCUUUGGGGAAAGAUUCAUCGCCAUUGGAGGGGCCCGCGUCGGAUUAGCUAGUUGGCGGGGUAACGGCCCACCAAGGCAACGAUCCGUAGCUGGCUGAGAGGAUGAUCAGCCACACUGGGACUGAGAU
This 269-nucleotide ribosomal RNA is filed under the name uncultured bacterium. Its description in RNAcentral is "partial 16S ribosomal RNA". It matches the Rfam family "Bacterial small subunit ribosomal RNA", at positions 29 to 325 of the family's 1533-position model. The record is from RNAcentral.